UACGUAGGGCGCAAACGUUGUCCGGAUUCACUGGGUGUAAAGGGUGCGUAGGCGGGAAGGCAAGUCAGAGGUGAAAUCUCACGGCUCAACCGUGAAACUGCCUUUGAUACUGCUUUUCUUGAGUUAGGGAGAGGUCGAUGGAAUUCCAGGUGUAGCGGUGAAAUGCGUAGAUAUCUGGAAGAACACCGGUGGCGAAGGCGGUCGACUGGCCCUAAACUGACGCUGAGGCACGAAAGCGUGGGGAUCAAACAGG
This 253-nucleotide ribosomal RNA is filed under the name uncultured bacterium. Its description in RNAcentral is "partial 16S ribosomal RNA". It matches the Rfam family "Bacterial small subunit ribosomal RNA", at positions 524 to 776 of the family's 1533-position model. The record is from RNAcentral.